RNAcentral lists this ribosomal RNA (253 nucleotides) under uncultured bacterium. RNAcentral's name for it is "partial 16S ribosomal RNA". It matches the Rfam family "Bacterial small subunit ribosomal RNA", at positions 524 to 776 of the family's 1533-position model. The record is from RNAcentral.
GACGAACCGAGCGAACGUUGUUCGGAAUCACUGGGCUUAAAGGGCGCGUAGGCGGGUGCUCAAGUCCGUGGUGAAAUCCUCCGGCUCAACCGGAGAACUGCCUCGGAUACUGGGCGUCUCGAGUGUGGUAGGGGUAUGCGGAACUAUCGGUGGAGCGGUGAAAUGCGUUGAUAUCGAUAGGAACUCCGGUGGCGAAGGCGGCAUACUGGACCACCACUGACGCUGAUGCGCGAAAGCCAGAGGAGCAAACGGG